RNAcentral lists this non-coding RNA (24 nucleotides) under Arabidopsis thaliana (thale cress). Lineage: Eukaryota; Viridiplantae; Streptophyta; Magnoliopsida; Brassicales; Brassicaceae. The record is from RNAcentral.
UGCCGGGGUUUUGUGAUAUCCGGA